UGAAAACAACUGACGCAAAAAAUAUAUAUUUCCUUUUUUAAUAUAAUAACAUUAUAAACAUCAUUUCAACAACAGGAAAAGUUUCUUCUUAAUAUAAAUCCCAUCAGAACAGUAUAUUGCACGUGUCAUUUUGUUGCCCUAAUAUUCUGCAUAGAUCAAUUUAAUUCAGAAUUGAAAGUGUGUUCUGAAAAAAUAAACAAUUUGAAAAGAGUUAAUGGUUCUCUGUACAAAAAAAAAUAUUUUCUUAUAUAAUGUCACAAAAAUUAUAAAAGAAAAACAGUCAAUAAACAGGUCACUAAAGGUCAAGGCUGGGAAUAUUCCAAAUCCAACAUUUUUUUCCCCCCUCUCCCUCAUGAAGACCCAGCCAGGCCCUUUUAGAAGAGGUAGAGAACACAAACACACUAGAAACAAGAACUGCAUCCAAAGAUAAAACACCUACUUUUAUAGUUGGAUUUAAUGUUCAAAUAAUGGUAUUCAGCAUAAGAAAGUCCCACAUAGGUAAACAUAGACUGCUUCAAAAAAAGAUGCUUUUCAAGUCAGUCAGAACGCACCAAAUGUUUAGUCAUUUUAAAACUGUGUUAAUAAAACUUGAUCAAUGGGUCAGCAAUCAAGAAUGCAUAAACAUGGCUCCAAAGAUGGCAUCACCACCCUGAGGGCAUUUUAGAUGAAACUUUACAUGAGGGGUCUGUUCAUCGACUCAAAUGUUCGUCCAUCGUCUUCCACUUCUUUAAGAAUAAGGGUCACAAGGGAAUCAGGUCCAGCAGUAAAAACCUGAUAUUACUCUCAUCAGAAACAUUCUCCAGUUUGUUCUGGCAACCUGGGGGCAUUCCCAGUCCAGAAAUGACAAACAGUCCCCUUAUGGAUUCAGAGUGUGCCUUGAAGUCUCCUACCAGUGGGACAUGACCAUUUAUUCUCCAAAUGAAGGUCCCUUGAUCAGAUCAUCGAAGUUCAGGGUCAGAAUGUUGAUGGACU
Long non-coding RNA from Poecilia latipinna (sailfin molly), 972 nucleotides. RefSeq lists it as uncharacterized. The transcript is spliced from 2 exons. The record is from RefSeq and is a predicted model, not a curated record. Lineage: Eukaryota; Metazoa; Chordata; Actinopteri; Cyprinodontiformes; Poeciliidae.